Molecule: long non-coding RNA, 1280 nt
Filed under: Nicotiana benthamiana
Lineage: Eukaryota; Viridiplantae; Streptophyta; Magnoliopsida; Solanales; Solanaceae
Description: long non-coding RNA (NBEN_LNC026705)
Source: RNAcentral
UAAGCCCAAAGGGCCCAAACCAAAAGACGGUUGAACUAACCCGUCAAACUGCCACCAAAAAUAACCAAGUAGCAAAAACAAAUAUCCAGAAUCUGGUCAUAGAAGGGACAAUUCUAGGGACUGACUAGGACCGGAGAUGUAAGAGGACUGAGGUUCAAGUUCUUUACUGGAAGAGGGUUCUCUAUGAAUAAGCCCUAGAAGCUAGUAAAAGCGAGCAUCAACAGACUGAUCUUGCUUUAUUUAUUCCUUUAGCUUCUUAUUCUCCUCUUUCAAGGAAGCAAUUUCUUCUUUCAGCUUCUCUUUCUUCCCAGUGACACAAUCAAUUCCUCCAAUAGGUUUUUUGCCAUGUUUUUGCUCUUUGUGCCCGGUGCUCUUGCAAUGUGGUCACAUUCCUUUGAAGUUUCCUUAUCAAAUAUAUCUUUCAUAGUUCUUUUUAGGUCCUUUUAGAGGGAUCUUGAAGUUCUCAAACACAGCUAGUCAACAAGAACUCAUAUCAUAGAGCAUAUGUGCCUCUUUCUGGGUCAACUGCCUUUGCCAUACGCUUGAUAAUCAGUACAGGAAAAUUGAUCCAAAACCUCUAUGACUAUCAAGUCCAAAUAUGUGGCCUUAUGCCUCUUUUCUGAUCAAGGCAAUAAACAUUUAUUCAUAAAUUCAAACAAGAGCUUGUGAACCGGCUCUAUCUCCCUUUUUACAAAGUUUUCUUGAGGUUCGAUUCUACCUCUUUUUGGUAUACUUUGAAUUCAAGUACAUAGAAUCCUCAUUUUUCUUCCAAACUUGGCCACCCACGUCACAAAUAGCUGUCAAAGUCAUUUAUCGGAACAAUCAGAAUCAGUCCUAGUAUAUUAGCAUCAAGAACCAAAUCCACUCCACUCAUCUCAGCAUUUAUUGUCCUAUCCUCAAACAACAUAAAGUUCUUGUAAAAAUGAAGCAUUGUUCACCAUAAAUAAUCAGUAUUGGGAAUAAGAACAUGUGUCCGCUUCUAGUGCUCGAUCUUCUCCAACAACUCUUUCAUUAUAAGCAUGUCAAUAGUUGCUGGGUCAAUUACUCUCCUUUUAAGCAUCAUUAGCCCAGAAAACUGGUCUUCCUUGAAUACAAUAAUAUUUUUUUUUUGGAUUCUCUUCUUGCAUUUGGAAUUGGUUUCUUUUUUCUCAGCCUCAUAAAUAACUACUUUUUUUGGAUUCUUCUUUUUCUUAGGUGUGGCUGGAAAUGAUCCAGCCUUCUUAUUCUUCUUCUUCCUGACACGAUCCAAUUUUUUUCAGUAGUAUAUCGUAACGGCACCU